UUGAGAUGGUGGUACGCAGGGGCGGACCCACGUUGACAUGAGGGGGUUCAACUGAACCCCCUGAAAAAAAAAAUUCCUACUUACCCCUUAGAGUAAUUUUUUUUUGAACCCCCUGAAAUUUGAAAAUUGCACCCAGGUCCCAGUCAAGGAGUCAACACUCAGUCACUCAUUCCUCACUCCUCUCUCUCUCUCUUCCUCACGCACUCACUCCUCUCUCUCUCUCUCUUCCUCACGCACUCACUCUCUCAUCUCACGGUCUCAACUCUCCUUCACUCAUGAAUCACGGCAGCCACAGCCCACGCCCACCAACGCCACCAGUCCACCACCACCGCCCACCGGCAGCCGCCCAACGCACCACCACUCUCUCUCUCUGCUGCUGUUGAAGACUUGAAGCUUGAAGCCUUGUUGUUAUUCUGGCUGGAGAAAGAUUGAGGAUUGCAGUCUGCAGAGGAAGGGUGCGUUUUUUUUGGGCCAUUAUUGCAGUGCCUAUGCUAUGACAGUUUUCAUGUGGGUGGCUUUUGAAGGGUCUUGCACUCUUUGUACCUAUUUUUGUUUUCUUAUUUGAAGAAGUAGGCAGAGAGCAGAGGUGUUGGCACGCAACUUUCCAUAUUUUACAAGUAAAUGCUAAAAGUAAUAGGUGCCUCUUUCUUCUUUCUUUAA
Long non-coding RNA from Lotus japonicus, 660 nucleotides. RefSeq lists it as uncharacterized. The record is from RefSeq and is a predicted model, not a curated record. NCBI's taxonomy places the organism in Eukaryota, Viridiplantae, Streptophyta, Magnoliopsida, Fabales, Fabaceae. The transcript has 2 exons.